AUUGAACGCUGGCGGCAGGCUUAACACAUGCAAGUCGAGCGGGGUGAUGGUGCUUGCACUAUCACUUAGCGGCGGACGGGUGAGUAAUGCUUAGGAAUCUGCCUAUUAGUGGGGGACAACAUCUCGAAAGGGAUGCUAAUACCGCAUACGUCCUACGGGAGAAAGCAGGGGAUCACUUGUGACCUUGCGCUAAUAGAUGAGCCUAAGUCGGAUUAGCUAGUUGGUGGGGUGAAGGCCUACCAAGGCGACGAUCUGUAGCGGGUCUGAGAGGAUGAUCCGCCACACUGGGACUGGGACACGGGCCAGACUCCUACGGGAGGCAGCAGUGGGGAAUAUUGGACAAUGGGGGGAACCCUGAUCCAGCCAUGCCGCGUGUGUGAAGAAGGCCUUAUGGUUGUAAAGCACUUUAAGCGAGGAGGAGGCUCUUUUGGUUAAUACCCAAGAUGAGUGGACGUUACUCGCAGAAUAAGCACCGGCUAACUCUGUGCCAGCAGCCGCCGCGG
This 503-nucleotide ribosomal RNA is filed under the name uncultured bacterium. RNAcentral describes it as "partial 16S ribosomal RNA". It matches the Rfam family "Bacterial small subunit ribosomal RNA", at positions 30 to 523 of the family's 1533-position model. The record is from RNAcentral.